Small nuclear RNA from Centruroides sculpturatus (bark scorpion), 197 nucleotides. RefSeq annotates it as U2 spliceosomal RNA. NCBI's taxonomy places the organism in Eukaryota, Metazoa, Arthropoda, Arachnida, Scorpiones, Buthidae. The record is from RefSeq and is a predicted model, not a curated record. The transcript has a single exon.
AUCUCUUAUAUGGUAAUAAUAAACUUUAAUUAAAAGUAAAAGUAUCUGUUCUUAUCAGCUUAAUAUCUGAUACGGCUUCCAUCGGAGGCCAUGAUAUUAAACUGAUUUUUGGAAGGCGGCGGAGUGCUCGGAGCUUGCUCCACCUCUGCCACGGGUUGACCCGGUAUUGCAGUACCUCCGGGAAUGGCCCACUCCCC